GUAACGAGCGCAACCCUUGUCCCUAGUUACCAGCACGUAUGUGGGCACUCUAAGGAGACUGCCGGUGACAACCGGAGGAAGGUGGGGAUGACGUCAAGUCAUCAUGGCCCUUACGGCCUGGGCUACACACGUGCUACAAUGGUCGGUACAAAGGGUUGCCAAGCCGCGAGGUGGAGCUAAUCCCAUAAAACCGAUCGUAGUCCGGAUCGCAGUCUGCAACUCGACUGCGUGAAGUCGGAAUCGCUAGUAAUCGUGAAUCAGAAUGUCACGGUGAAUACGUUCCCGGGCCUU
This 291-nucleotide ribosomal RNA is filed under the name uncultured Pseudomonas sp. Its description in RNAcentral is "partial 16S ribosomal RNA". It matches the Rfam family "Bacterial small subunit ribosomal RNA", at positions 1089 to 1382 of the family's 1533-position model. Lineage: Bacteria; Pseudomonadati; Pseudomonadota; Gammaproteobacteria; Pseudomonadales; Pseudomonadaceae. The record is from RNAcentral.